UACGGGGGGAGCAAACGUUGUUCGGAAUCACUGGGCGUAAAGGGUGCGUAGGUGGCUUGGUAAGUUCGAUGUGAAAUCUCCGGGCUUAACCCGGAAAUGGCAUUGAAUACUAUUGAGCUGGAGGUUUGGAGGGGGGACUGGAAUUCUCGGUGUAGCAGUGAAAUGCGUAGAUAUCGAGAGGAACACCAGUGGCGAAGGCGAGUCCCUGGACAACACCUGACACUGAGGCACGAAAGCUAGGGGAGCAAACAGG
Molecule: ribosomal RNA, 253 nt
Filed under: uncultured bacterium
Lineage: Bacteria
Description: partial 16S ribosomal RNA
Rfam family: Bacterial small subunit ribosomal RNA
Source: RNAcentral